Molecule: regulatory RNA element, 92 nt
Organism: Tropicibacter naphthalenivorans
Lineage: Bacteria; Pseudomonadati; Pseudomonadota; Alphaproteobacteria; Rhodobacterales; Roseobacteraceae
Rfam family: Rhodo-rpoB RNA
Source: Rfam
GGAUCGAGUGGCGCGCGGUGGGACGCGUGCCGAGAAUGGAUCCGGAUUUUUGCCGUCACUGACGAGGCGCGCCGUAGCCCGACGGCGCGUGU